GAUUAACGCUAGCGGCAGGCCUAAUACAUGCAAGUCGGAACGGGAUUUCGGGUAGCAAUAUCUGAAUGAGAGUGGCGCACGGGUGCGUAACACGUAGUGCAAUCUACCUCUGACUGGGGAAUAGCCUUCCGAAAGGAAGAUUAAUACCGCAUAAAAUAAUGAAGUGGCAUCACUUUAUUAUCAAAACUCUGGUGGUCAGAGAUGAGCAUGCGUCCGAUAGCUAGUUGGCGGGGUAACGGCCCACCAAGGCGACGAUCGGUAGGGGUCUGAGAGGAUGAUCCCCCANACUGGUACUGAGACACGGACCAGACUCCUACGGGAGGCAGCAGUAAGGAAUAUUGGACAAUGGUGGAAACACUGAUCCAGCCAU
RNAcentral lists this ribosomal RNA (370 nucleotides) under uncultured bacterium. RNAcentral describes it as "bacterial SSU rRNA". It matches the Rfam family "Bacterial small subunit ribosomal RNA", at positions 28 to 395 of the family's 1533-position model. The record is from RNAcentral.